UACGGGGGGGGCAAGCGUUGUUCGGAUUUACUGGGCGUAAAGGGCUCGUAGGCGGCCAACUAAGUCAUACGUGAAAUCCCUCGGCUUAACCGGGGAACUGCGUCUGAUACUGGAUGGCUUGAGUUCGGGAGAGGGAUGCGGAAUUCCAGGUGUAGCGGUGAAAUGCGUAGAUAUCUGGAGGAACACCGGUGGCGAAGGCGGCAUCCUGGACCGAUACUGACGCUGAGGAGCGAAAGCCAGUUGAGCAAACGGG
This 253-nucleotide ribosomal RNA is filed under the name uncultured bacterium. RNAcentral's name for it is "partial 16S ribosomal RNA". It matches the Rfam family "Bacterial small subunit ribosomal RNA", at positions 524 to 776 of the family's 1533-position model. The record is from RNAcentral.